Molecule: ribosomal RNA, 253 nt
Filed under: uncultured bacterium
Lineage: Bacteria
Description: partial 16S ribosomal RNA
Rfam family: Bacterial small subunit ribosomal RNA
Source: RNAcentral
GACGUAGGGCGCGAGCGUUGUCCGGAUUUAUUGGGCGUAAAGAGCUCGUAGGCGGCUUGUCGCGUCGACUGUGAAAUCCCGAGGCUCAACUUCGGGCUUGCAGUCGAUACGGGCAGACUAGAGUGCGGUAGGGGAGACUGGAAUUCCUGGUGUAGCGGUGAAAUGCGCAGAUAUCAGGAGGAACACCGGUGGCGAAGGCGGGUCUCUGGGCCGUAACUGACGCUGAGGAGCGAAAGCGUGGGGAGCGAACAGG